CCGCGCUAGACGGGGAGGUAGCGGUGCCCUGCACCCGCAAUCCGCUAUAGCGGGGUUGAAUUCCCGGUUGAGGGAAUGCGGCUUUCGAGUGAUCGGCAGCGGGAAGUGACGUUGAUAGUAAGGAGCCGUGCAAUAGGAACCUGCCAACCCCGUCAGGACCGGGAGGUAGCAGCGGUAAGCAGUUAUUCUUAUGUGAUGCGGUGACCCUUACUGGAGUUAACCUCGCUGAUGGAGCCGGGAGCCCUUCUCGAUGCCGCGGGCGCGG
Molecule: signal recognition particle RNA, 265 nt
Filed under: bacterium
Lineage: Bacteria
Also listed under: 1 other name
Description: signal recognition particle sRNA large type
Rfam family: Bacterial large signal recognition particle RNA
About the family: The signal recognition particle (SRP) is a universally conserved ribonucleoprotein involved in the co-translational targeting of proteins to membranes. Archaeal SRP consists of a 7S RNA and homologues of the eukaryotic SRP19 and SRP54 proteins.
Source: RNAcentral